This 497-nucleotide ribosomal RNA is filed under the name uncultured bacterium. RNAcentral describes it as "partial 16S ribosomal RNA". It matches the Rfam family "Bacterial small subunit ribosomal RNA", at positions 28 to 507 of the family's 1533-position model. The record is from RNAcentral.
GAUGAACGCUGGCGGCGUGCCUAAUACAUGCAAGUCGAGCGAACAGACGAGGAGCUUGCUCCUCUGACGUUAGCGGCGGACGGGUGAGUAACACGUGGAUAACCUACCUAUAAGACUGGGAUAACUUCGGGAAACCGGAGCUAAUACCGGAUAAUAUAUUGAACCGCAUGGUUCAAUAGUGACAGACGGUUUUGCUGUCACUUAUAGGUGGAUCCGCGCCGCAUUAGCUAGUUGGUAAGGUAACGGCUUACCAAGGCAACGAUGCGUAGCCGACCUGAGAGGGUGAUCGGCCACACUGGAACUGAGACGCGGUCCAGACUCCUACGGGAGGCAGCAGUAGGGAAUCUUCCGCAAUGGGCGAAAGCUUGACGGAGCAACGCCGCGUGAGUGAUGAAGGUCUUCGGAUCGUAAAACUCUGUUAUUAGGGAAGAACAAAUGUGUAAGUAACUAUGCACGUCUUGACGGUACCUAAUCAGAAAGCCACGGCUAACUACGUG